GCAGAGGGUGUUUCGGGCGCGGCGCGGGUCUAAGUCCUUUGGAACAGGGCGUCAGAGAGGGUGAGAAUCCCGUAUGCGACCCGCGACCAACCCCCCAGGAAACCCCUUCGACGAGUCGAGUUGUUUGGGAAUGCAGCUCAAAAUGGGUGGUAAAUUUCAUCUAAAGCUAAAUACCGGCCAGAGACCGAUAGCGCACAAGUAGAGUGAUCGAAAGAUGAAAAGCACUUUGGAAAGAGAGUCAAACAGUACGUGAAAUUGUUGAAAGGGAAGCGCUUGCGACCAGACCUGUCCGGGGGCGAUCAACCUCCGUUCUCGGGGGUGCACUCGCCCGCGAUCAGGCCAGCAUCGGUUCGGGCGGUCGGAUACAGGCCGUGGGAAUGUAGCUUCCUCCGGGGAGUCUUAUAGCCCUCGGUGCAAUGCGGCCAGCCCGGACCGAGGACCGCGCUUCGGCUAGGAUGCUGGCGUAAUGGUCGUAAGCGACCCGUCUUGAAACACGGACCAAGGAGUCUAACAUCUAUGCGAGUGUUUGGGUGUCAAACCCAUACGCGGAAUGAAAGUGAACGGAGGUGAGAACCCUGAAGGGCGCAUCAUCGACCGAUCCAGAGGUCUUCGGAUGGAUUUGAGUACGAGCAUAGCUGUUGGGACCCGAAAGAUGGUGAACUAUGCCUGAAUAGGGUGAAGCCAGAGGAAACUCUGGUGGAGGCUCGCAGCGGUUCUGACGUGCAAAUCGAUCGUCAAAUUUGGGUAUAGGGGCGAAAGACUAAUCGAACCAUCUAGUAGCUGGUUCCUGCCGAAGUUUCCCUCAGGAUAGCAG
This 814-nucleotide ribosomal RNA is filed under the name Stereocaulon fecundum. RNAcentral describes it as "partial 28S ribosomal RNA". It matches the Rfam family "Eukaryotic large subunit ribosomal RNA", at positions 151 to 984 of the family's 3401-position model. Lineage: Eukaryota; Fungi; Ascomycota; Lecanoromycetes; Lecanorales; Stereocaulaceae. The record is from RNAcentral.